Long non-coding RNA from Gymnogyps californianus (California condor), 370 nucleotides. RefSeq lists it as uncharacterized. The record is from RefSeq and is a predicted model, not a curated record. The transcript has 4 exons. NCBI's taxonomy places the organism in Eukaryota, Metazoa, Chordata, Aves, Accipitriformes, Cathartidae.
UGAGGAGGAAGGGCACUGUGUUGGAGCUGAGAUAUCCUGUUUUCCUCUUGGUUUACAAAGAAAACUCAGUGUCGAGGGAGCUGAAGACUGGGAUGUGCUGGGCUAAUACAAAUUUAACUGAAGCCAAGAAUGCCCCUGGCUUGGCUCUGCAAAGAGUACUAAGCAGCCAAGGACAUUUGGAAGGCCAAAUCCAAACCAGUACGGUCUUUUGCUGAGCCUGUUCCCUGCUUCUGUGAGGCCAAUGCUGACCCCAGUGAGACAAUUGGAGAAAUAAGAAACAGAAAAACAAAACAGAAGAAAAUGGAAAAGACUGCUGUGGAAAGAAAAGCUCCAUUUUAUUCAGUCUUAAGCAUGACAAAGAAAAAAAAUG